CGCCACAGUAAAAAAUGUGGUGUUAAUAUUUCAGUGUUAACCUAAUUUAAUCUAAAUAGAGUAUUUAUAACUAUAUGGAGUGUAAAUCGGCUCUGACAUUGGAGUUAAAAGUCAGAGUAAAAUGCUACAUUCACGCAGUGAAACUUUUGACUCCGUCAAGUGUCAAUAAUGCGCCAGUAAAGAUUUUUGGCAAGAGGAGGAGGAGGAGGAGAGGAGGAAGAAAGGAGACGAAGCACCAGUUUUCUGAAGUUCGUGAGGCUGUUUCCAUUUUGGAUUCUGAACGGAGUUGUGCUACAGAAAAGGGCAGCGGGAGAAAGUUGCAUUGUGUAGGACGAGAGCCGAGGGUUAGCCCUAUGCUAGACACGUUGUCCACCUCACAAUAUUUACUCAGUUUUUUUCUGAAGGCUGUCAAGGUAAGAAUACGUAACUGUUAUAAAUUGUAAUAGUAUUAAUCACUGUGCCUUAUGCCAUAGGCCCAGAUUCCGUGGGUACUUCGGGGUCGUAGCACCCACUGAGUCACGUUAGCAUGGUUAGCACCAUGGAUGUAGCGGCUAACAGGCGCCAUAUUGCUUAUGUUCAAGUGUAUCGGGAAUAUAAACUCAGUUUUCAAAUGGCAUUUACUUUGAAACACAUUUAUUAACUAUUAAAAUGUGUCUGUCAUGGUUGUUUAUUUUCGUUAUUCUUUUUUUUCUUACAGACCAUGGUUUUGUUUGGUGGGGAGCAGAAGUACGUGAAACUUUCUGGCCUAACAUUUGAUGCAUUCGUGAGAGAAGUGUGCCUGAAAUUCAACAUUCCAGAAGGCAGACAGCAAGAUCUGAAGGUAUAUGACCAGUCUGACACAGAAGAUGUAGAUGUUUUUGAAGAAAAAGUGAAUCAGUCACCUGGAACCUUUUGAUUUAUGUUGAGCAACAAAGAUUAUCCUGGUGCUGUUUUACCAUCUUCAUCUUCAGUCACAUCUGAUGAUACUAUUAUUCUGAAUUUCACAAUGUGUGACCCAUCAGAAGAAGAAACCACUGCUUAAGGAAGCCAACCUAAAAGGCCAUGUCACAUAAAUUAUGUGCCGCAAGCAUUGAUUGAAAGAGUCUCAACAACAAAGCCUGGUGGUGAGCAUAUGAUGCAAGAACUAAAUGCUUGGCAGAUGCAACCAGAAGACAGAUGAUAAACAUCCUUACAGCUGCAAUGACAGAAGCACAUGGAUCAUACCCUCCUAAAGGUGUCAGAGUGAUGUAUGCUCAGGGGUUCGUUGCCCUAUUUCCCUAUCUGGAGGACCCGUUUUCAAAACAUGGAUAUGAGUAUUACUAUGAUCCAGAGAGCUGUUCAGGAUACAUUGCAUGGCGUUUAAAGACCAUUCAAAGAAAAACUGCAGAGGAAAGGAGUGCCUCAGGUGGCAAAUCUCCCAAAAGUAAGUUUUCUCAAUAGUGAGUAUAUGUAAAGUAAUGUAAAAUCUGUGGCUGGGAGUUAGAAACAGACAAGGCCAUGGUCAAUCCAUGGUUUUCACUGCUGACAAAGUGCUGUGAGAUGAGGAAGUGGAAGCAGCUAUUGCUGUUUUGAAACACUCUGCUGAUGAUGACACUGUCUGUGAGAAGAUGAAGACUAACUUCCAUUACCGUCAUUCAAUGGUCAAUGAUGAAAAGAAAGCAGCAAAUGUGUUCUCUGUCUUUCCACGGUUUCUGGACACACCAGGACUGAUAGAACAAGAUUUCAGACUCCUGUUUGGCGAAGGCACUGCCAACAAAUUUUUGGAGAAGUGGCCCACCAAUCUCAAAUCCAAGGUUAUAAAGGAAAGCCAUGGCCUGGUACCCACCACUGAGCUCUUGGAUUUAUUGCGGAAUGCAGAGUUGGCUGCUGAAGCUGAGAAUGGUUGGGAUAGUGACAUGUCUGCUAUUUUGCUUACCACCAUCUGCACAAGGACGAAAGAGGCCGGGUAAGAUGUCUGCAUCUCAAGCAGUGGAUCACCUCAACAGAUUUCUAAAGGUUGGAACCAGUGUACAGCAGCAUCUUGAGAAAAUCACGCAGCGUACCCAGCCCUACCUCCUUGCCCAGGGAUCCAUCCAAAGCAGUUUUCACACAUUCUUCAUUGUGAUUGACAACUAUGCUAUUCCAUGUAAGGCAACAUGUUCAGUUUUAGCUCUUGAUGAGCUCUUUAAGGCCCAUUAUGUGUUUGGUACGUCAUACAGCGCUCCCUUGACCAACUUCGUUUGGAGACGGACAAUUCACGGCCAAGUCCUGCAACAACCCAGGAUCUAGAGGGAAACAUCUAUUUUUGACUGAUAAGACUGCAAUAACAUUUGUAGCUGCAAGCAUGAGUGGACAGCCCUUGCAGUUCAGCGCCAAUCUGACCGUGUGGCGACAGCCCCAGCACCACUCCCACAUUUUAGUCAGGCUUAUCUGUGUUGCACACGUCAGCAACAAGGCAGUUCAAAAGGCUUGACAUAAAAACAUCAUAACCUCAUACAGUCACCAAUUAUGAAAAUCCGUAACAGACAUUGUAUUUGGUCAAGUGCCAUCAUUAAAAUCACUCAAACGCCACAAAUAUGUUGGUCACUGUUCUAUUUAUUACGGUUGAAAAGCAACUCUAAGGUGUUUUUUUAGUAUUGAUUUAGAGCAAAAACAGUGUUUCAGCUGUUUUGCAGUUUUCUGAAAGUUUGUCCCAGGUUUGUGGAUCACAUAGAACCUGAAUGCUGCUUCUCCCAAUUUGGUUAUGGUUCCUGGUGAUGCAGUGCAGACCAGAACCAGAAGACCCGAGAGGUCUGGAAGGUUGAUACAACAACAGCAGAUCUUUAAUGUAUUUUUUUGCUGUGCUGUUCAGCAAUUUAUAAAAGUAACAACAGUAUUUUAAAGUCUAUUUUCUGAGCCAUGAGAAGCCAGGGUAUGGAUUUUAGAACUGGGCUGAUAUGCUCUAUCUUCCUGGUUUUUCUGAGAAUUUGAGCAGCAGCGUUUAGGAUCAGCUGUCUGAUUUGGUGAAGAUCAGAUGUUGUAUCAAGGAGAUAUAAAUAGCCUAGGGGGACACAGUUGAAUCUAAUUGCAAUAUUAUCAAAUUGUCCUUCUUAGAAGGUGGCAAAAAUCAAAGGUUGGUGCAGAGUAGGGGCAGAUAUUACACGAUUAGACUUCUUUUUCCUCCCUUUCAUUCAUGAUUUCCUUUAGUCAUUACAAGAACUCUUUGUAUUUAUUAUUGAGUGAAUGAACUAAAGAUGAAAUCAAAUGUGUAGAGUUCUGGUUUGUGAAACCUUUUGAAAACGCACAGAUGCCUGGAACCAAGCUACGUGCAGCAGCCUUGUGACUUCUGUAGCUGUACAGGUAGUUUGUAAUUCUGUUGUAAUGUUUUGUAAAUUUAUUAGUCAUGGUGUUUUAAUUAUUUCAGAUUUUAAUUUAGAGUGGAAUAUUUGUUAAGGACCUCCC
This is a long non-coding RNA of Xiphophorus couchianus (Monterrey platyfish), 3399 nucleotides long. RefSeq lists it as uncharacterized. NCBI's taxonomy places the organism in Eukaryota, Metazoa, Chordata, Actinopteri, Cyprinodontiformes, Poeciliidae. The record is from RefSeq and is a predicted model, not a curated record. The transcript is spliced from 11 exons.